UGAGGAAUAUUGGUCAAUGGACGGAAGUCUGAACCAGCCAUGCCGCGUGCAGGAAGAAAGCCCUAUGGGUUGUAAACUGCUUUUAAAUAGGAAUAAACCCCCUUUCGUGAAAGGGGCUGAAGGUACUAUAAGAAUAAGGACCGGCUAACUCCGUGCCAGCAGCCGCGGUAAUACGGAGGGUCCAAGCGUUAUCCGGAUUUAUUGGGUUUAAAGGGUCCGCAGGCGGGAGAAUAAGUCAGUGGUGAAAUCC
Molecule: ribosomal RNA, 250 nt
Filed under: uncultured bacterium
Lineage: Bacteria
Description: partial 16S ribosomal RNA
Rfam family: Bacterial small subunit ribosomal RNA
Source: RNAcentral